UACUGUUUUUAACUCUUACAGUGCUCGUCUCG
This 32-nucleotide non-coding RNA is filed under the name Geobacter sulfurreducens KN400. Lineage: Bacteria; Pseudomonadati; Thermodesulfobacteriota; Desulfuromonadia; Geobacterales; Geobacteraceae. The record is from RNAcentral.